CCUACGGGAGGCAGCAGUGAGGAAUAUUGGUCAAUGGACGAGAGUCUGAACCAGCCAAGUAGCGUGAAGGAUGACUGCCCUAUGGGUUGUAAACUUCUUUUAUAUGGGAAUAAAAUGUUCCACGUGUGGGAUUUUGUAUGUACCAUAUGAAUAAGGAUCGGCUAAAUCUGUGCCAGCAGCCGCGGUAAUACGGAGGAUCCGAGCGUUAUCCGGAUUUAUUGGGGUUAAAGGGAGCGUAGGUGGAUUGUUAAGUCAGUUGUGAAAGUUUGCGGCUCAACCGUAAAAUUGCAGUUGAAACUGGCAGUCUUGAGUACAGUAGAGGUGGGCGGAAUUCGUGGUGUAGCGGUGAAAUGCUUAGAUAUCACGAAGAACUCCGAUGGCGAAGGCAGCUCACUGGACUGCAACUGACACUGAGGCUCGAAAGUGUGGGGAUCAAACAGGAUUAGAUACCCGGGUAGUC
This 460-nucleotide ribosomal RNA is filed under the name uncultured bacterium. RNAcentral's name for it is "partial 16S ribosomal RNA". It matches the Rfam family "Bacterial small subunit ribosomal RNA", at positions 338 to 795 of the family's 1533-position model. The record is from RNAcentral.